CCAUCGAUAUGGCCCAAAGCCCACCGGCACAAUCCAUAACCGAACAGCCCAGAACCCAUCGGUCCGGCCCAGAACCCGAUGACCCCGAAUUCAUCAGCAUGGCCCGGAACCUACUGGCAUGGCCCAAAACUUGCUGGCAUAGUUUAGGACCCAUCGGUCUGGCUCAGAAUCUGUCGACACGGUCCAAAAUCUGUCAGCACAGUUCAGAACCCACCGGCAC
RNAcentral lists this long non-coding RNA (220 nucleotides) under Elaeis guineensis (African oil palm). RNAcentral's name for it is "long non-coding RNA (EGUI_LNC032905)". The record is from RNAcentral. Lineage: Eukaryota; Viridiplantae; Streptophyta; Magnoliopsida; Arecales; Arecaceae.